UCCCUGGUGGUCUAGUGGUUAGGAUUUGGCGCUCUCGCUGCCAUGGCCUGGGUUUGUUUCCUGGUCAGGGAA
Molecule: non-coding RNA, 72 nt
Organism: Larimichthys crocea (large yellow croaker)
Lineage: Eukaryota; Metazoa; Chordata; Actinopteri; Sciaenidae
Source: Rfam